UUGGAUUAGCUAGUUGGUGGGGUAAAGGCCUACCAAGGCGACGAUCCAUAGCUGGUCUGAGAGGAUGAUCAGCCACACUGGGACUGAGACACGGCCCAGACUCCUACGGGAGGCAGCAGUGGGGAAUAUUGGACAAUGGGCGCAAGCCUGAUCCAGCCAUGCCGCGUGAGUGAUGACGGCCUUAGGGUUGUAAAGCUCUUUCAACGGUGAAGAUAAUGACGGUAACCGUAGAAGAAGCCCCGGCUAACUUCGUGCCAGCAGCCGCGGUAAUACGAAGGGGGCUAGCGUUGUUCGGAAUUACUGGGCGUAAAGCGCACGUAGGCGGAUACUUAAGUCAGGGGUGAAAUCCCGGGGCUCAACCCCGGAACUGCCUUUGAUACUGGGUAUCUAGAGUAUGGUAGAGGUGAGUGGAAUUCCGAGUGUAGAGGUGAAAUUCGUAGAUAUUCGGAGGAACACCAGUGGCGAAGGCGGCUCACUGGACCAUUACUGAC
This 491-nucleotide ribosomal RNA is filed under the name Salmonella enterica subsp. enterica serovar Indiana. RNAcentral describes it as "bacterial SSU rRNA". It matches the Rfam family "Bacterial small subunit ribosomal RNA", at positions 236 to 744 of the family's 1533-position model. The record is from RNAcentral. Lineage: Bacteria; Pseudomonadati; Pseudomonadota; Gammaproteobacteria; Enterobacterales; Enterobacteriaceae.